GACGAACGCUGGCGGCGUGCUUAACACAUGCAAGUCGAACGGAAAGGCCCUGCUUUUGUGGGGUGCUCGAGUGGCGAACGGGGGAGUAACACGUGUGUAACGUGCCCUUGACUUUGGGAUAACUUCAGGAAACUGGGGUUACUACCGGAUAGGAGCCCCUGCUGCGUGGUGGGGGGUGGAUAGUUUCGGCGGUUGGGGAUGGACUCGCGGCUUAUCAGUUUGUUGGUGGGGUAGGGGCUUACCCAGGAUUUGGAGGGUAGCCGGCCCGGGAGGGGGAACGGCCUCAUUGGGCCUAAGGUAGGGACCAGACUGCUAUGGGGGGCAAUGGGGGGGAAUAUGGCACAGUGGUACGGCGCCGGAGACGAAAACCCCGGGGGUGGGAAGACGGCCUUCGGGGUGUAAACCGCUUUCGCCUGUGACGAAGCGUGAGUGACGGUAAUGGGUAAAGAAGCACCGGCUAACUACGUG
RNAcentral lists this ribosomal RNA (468 nucleotides) under uncultured bacterium. RNAcentral describes it as "partial 16S ribosomal RNA". It matches the Rfam family "Bacterial small subunit ribosomal RNA", at positions 28 to 507 of the family's 1533-position model. The record is from RNAcentral.